RNAcentral lists this non-coding RNA (40 nucleotides) under Trypanosoma brucei brucei. The record is from RNAcentral. Lineage: Eukaryota; Euglenozoa; Kinetoplastea; Trypanosomatida; Trypanosomatidae.
AAACAUCAAUAGUAGAAAGUGGGAAGAUGAUAGAUUAUAU